Molecule: ribosomal RNA, 1166 nt
Filed under: Serratia marcescens
Lineage: Bacteria; Pseudomonadati; Pseudomonadota; Gammaproteobacteria; Enterobacterales; Yersiniaceae
Description: partial 23S ribosomal RNA
Rfam family: Bacterial large subunit ribosomal RNA
Source: RNAcentral
AGGUGGUCAGGUAGAGAAUACCAAGGCGCUUGAGAGAACUCGGGUGAAGGAACUAGGCAAAAUGGUGCCGUAACUUCGGGAGAAGGCACGCUGGCAUGUAGGUGAAGUCCCUUGCGGAUGGAGCUGAAGCCAGUCGAAGAUACCAGCUGGCUGCAACUGUUUAAUAAAAACACAGCACUGUGCAAACACGAAAGUGGACGUAUACGGUGUGACGCCUGCCCGGUGCUGGAAGGUUAAUUGAUGGGGUCAGCCGCAAGGCGAAGCUCUUGAUCGAAGCCCCAGUAAACGGCGGCCGUAACUAUAACGGUCCUAAGGUAGCGAAAUUCCUUGUCGGGUAAGUUCCGACCUGCACGAAUGGCGUAAUGAUGGCCAGGCUGUCUCCACCCGAGACUCAGUGAAAUUGAACUCGCUGUGAAGAUGCAGUGUACCCGCGGCAAGACGGAAAGACCCCGUGAACCUUUACUAUAGCUUGACACUGAACAUUGAGCCUUGAUGUGUAGGAUAGGUGGGAGGCUUUGAAGCGUGGACGCCAGUCUGCGUGGAGCCAUCCUUGAAAUACCACCCUUUAAUGUUUGAUGUUCUAACUCGGCCCCAUAAUCUGGGGUGAGGACAGUGUCUGGUGGGUAGUUUGACUGGGGCGGUCUCCUCCCAAAGAGUAACGGAGGAGCACGAAGGUUAGCUAAUCACGGUCGGACAUCGUGAGGUUAGUGCAAAGGCAUAAGCUAGCUUGACUGCGAGAGUGACGGCUCGAGCAGGUACGAAAGUAGGUCUUAGUGAUCCGGUGGUUCUGAAUGGAAGGGCCAUCGCUCAACGGAUAAAAGGUACUCCGGGGAUAACAGGCUGAUACCGCCCAAGAGUUCAUAUCGACGGCGGUGUUUGGCACCUCGAUGUCGGCUCAUCACAUCCUGGGGCUGAAGUAGGUCCCAAGGGUAUGGCUGUUCGCCAUUUAAAGUGGUACGCGAGCUGGGUUUAGAACGUCGUGAGACAGUUCGGUCCCUAUCUGCCGUGGGCGUUGGAAGAUUGAGAGGGGUUGCUCCUAGUACGAGAGGACCGGAGUGAACGCACCACUGGUGUUCGGGUUGUCAUGCCAAUGGCAUUGCCCGGUAGCUAAGUGCGGAAAAGAUAAGCGCUGAAAGCAUCUAAGCGCGAAACUUGCCUCAAGAUGA